GAUGAACGCUGGCGGCGUGCCUAAUACAUGCAAGUCGAGCGAACGGACGAGAAGCUUGCUUCUCUGAUGUUAGCGGCGGACGGGUGAGUAACACGUGGAUAACCUACCUAUAAGACUGGGAUAACUUCGGGAAACCGUAUCUAAUACCGGAUAAUAUUUUGAACCGCAUGGUUCAAAAGUGAAAGACGGUCUUGCUGUCACUUAUAGGUGGAUCCGCGCUGCAUUAGCUAGUUGGUAAGGUAACGGCUUACCAAGGCAACGAUGCAUAGCCGACCUGAGAGGGUGAUCGGCCACACUGGAACUGAGACACGGUCCAGACUCCUACGGGAGGCAGCAGUAGGGAAUCUUCCGCAAUGGGCGAAAGCCUGACGGAGCAACGCCGCGUGAGUGAUGAAGGUCUUCGGAUCGUAAAACUCUGUUAUUAGGGAAGAACAUAUGUGUAAGUAACUGUGCACAUCUUGACGGUACCUAAUCAGAAAGCCACGGCUAACUACGUG
RNAcentral lists this ribosomal RNA (497 nucleotides) under uncultured bacterium. RNAcentral's name for it is "partial 16S ribosomal RNA". It matches the Rfam family "Bacterial small subunit ribosomal RNA", at positions 28 to 507 of the family's 1533-position model. The record is from RNAcentral.